RNAcentral lists this ribosomal RNA (292 nucleotides) under uncultured bacterium. RNAcentral describes it as "partial 16S ribosomal RNA". It matches the Rfam family "Bacterial small subunit ribosomal RNA", at positions 775 to 1067 of the family's 1533-position model. The record is from RNAcentral.
GGAUUAGAUACCCUGGUAGUCCAUGCCGUAAACGUUGGGCACUAGGUAUGGGAUCAUAUCAACGGAUUCCGUGCCGUAGCUAACGCAUUAAGUGCCCCGCCUGGGGAGUACGGCCGCAAGGCUAAAACUCAAAGGAAUUGACGGGGGCCCGCACAAGCGGCGGAGCAUGUUGCUUAAUUCGAGGCAACGCGAAGAACCUUACCUGGGUUUGACAUGUAGGGUCUAGCUAUAGAGAUAUAGUGUGCAUUAGCGCCCUAUACAGGUGGUGCAUGGCUGUCGUCAGCUCGUGCCG